GAUGAACGCUGGCGGCGUGCCUAAUACAUGCAAGUCGAGCGAACAGACGAGGCUCUUGCUCCUCUCACGUUAGCGGCGCGCGGGUGAGUCACACGUGUAUAACCUCCCUAUCAGACUGGUAUAACUUCGGGACACCGGCUCUAAUACCGGAUGAUCUAUUGAUCCGCAUGGUUCGAUAGUGAGAGACGGUGUUUCUGUCACUUAUAGAUGGAUCCCCGCCGCAUUAGCUAGUUGUUAAGUUCACGGCUUACCAAGGCAACCAUGCGUAGCCGACCUGAGAGGGGGGUAGGCCACACGGGAACGGAGACACGGACCAGACGCCUAAGGGAGGGAGCAGUAGGGAAUGUGCCGCAAUGGGCGAAAGCAUGACGGAGCAACGCCGCGUGAGUUAUGAAGGUGUUCGGAUCGGAAAACUGUGUUACUAGGGAAGAACAAAUGUGUAAGGAACUAUGCAGGGAUUGACGGUACCGAGUCAGAAAGCAACGGCUAACUACGUG
RNAcentral lists this ribosomal RNA (497 nucleotides) under uncultured bacterium. RNAcentral's name for it is "partial 16S ribosomal RNA". It matches the Rfam family "Bacterial small subunit ribosomal RNA", at positions 28 to 507 of the family's 1533-position model. The record is from RNAcentral.